GCUCUCUCAAUCCUAAGUAUUUGGGGACUUAUUUAGAGAAGCAAUUAUUCUUUAAUUGCUCUUUAGAAAUCAAUUGUCUGAAUCUGUUGGAUUAUAUCCUAAUGUAAUAAAUAUUAUAAUUUCAUUGGGUAUAUAUCUUUAUAUUAAUUCAGGUCUUAACAAAAUUACUUUUCAAU
This 176-nucleotide unclassified non-coding RNA is filed under the name uncultured Pezizomycetes. Its description in RNAcentral is "sequence contains ITS2". The record is from RNAcentral. Lineage: Eukaryota; Fungi; Ascomycota; Pezizomycetes.